GGGAGUCUCAUCUAAUAUGUGGAGAGAUUGUUGGAUAAUCCGUGCACCUAGUGCUGAUGGAUGCUCGGGGAGAUAUGUUGUGGCUGCAUCUGCUGGGAAUACUCUUGAUUCGGGAUUUUGUUCAUGGGAUUUCUAUACCAAAGAUGUGCGAGCUUCUCACAUAGAGGAUGGAGAAACAACCACUUCAAGAACAAUACUAGGUCCCAUUCCCU
RNAcentral lists this unclassified non-coding RNA (212 nucleotides) under Hevea brasiliensis (rubber tree). The record is from RNAcentral. Lineage: Eukaryota; Viridiplantae; Streptophyta; Magnoliopsida; Malpighiales; Euphorbiaceae.